GCCCGACUGAGCAGGCGAAUUAC
Molecule: non-coding RNA, 23 nt
Filed under: Arabidopsis thaliana (thale cress)
Lineage: Eukaryota; Viridiplantae; Streptophyta; Magnoliopsida; Brassicales; Brassicaceae
Source: RNAcentral